CUUCAUCAAUCUGUUGCGGACAAAUGAAAUGGAUAUGGGCGUCCAUACCCCCGGCAGUGAGUAUCUUGCCCUCCCCGGCAAUGACCUCGGUGCCCGGCCCGAUGAUAAUCGUCACACCAGGCUGGGUGUCCGGAUUGCCAGCUUUACCUAUGCUGGCAAUCCGCCCGUCUCGCAAGCCUAUAUCCGCCUUGAAUAUACCUGUCGCAUCGACAACGAGUGCGUUGGUGAUAACUGUAUCUACCGCACCAUCUGCACGCGUAAUCUGACUUUGGCCCAUGCCGUCACG
RNAcentral lists this small RNA (286 nucleotides) under Phyllobacterium sp. YR531. RNAcentral's name for it is "5' ureB small RNA". It matches the Rfam family "5' ureB small RNA". Lineage: Bacteria; Pseudomonadati; Pseudomonadota; Alphaproteobacteria; Hyphomicrobiales; Phyllobacteriaceae. The record is from Rfam by way of RNAcentral.